UACGUAGGGUGCAAGCGUUAAUCGGAAUCACUGGGCUUAAAGGGCGCGUAGGCGGGCUAUCAAGUCCGGGGUGAAAUCCUCCCGCUCAACGGGAGAACUGCCUCGGAUACUGAUGGUCUCGAGGGGGAUAGGGGCACACGGAACUGUGGGUGGAGCGGUGAAAUGCGUUGAUAUCCAUAGGAACUCCGGUGGCGAAAGCGGUGUGCUGGAUCCCUUCCGACGCUGAGGCGCGAAAGCCAGGGGAGCGAACAGG
RNAcentral lists this ribosomal RNA (253 nucleotides) under uncultured bacterium. Its description in RNAcentral is "partial 16S ribosomal RNA". It matches the Rfam family "Bacterial small subunit ribosomal RNA", at positions 524 to 776 of the family's 1533-position model. The record is from RNAcentral.